This 497-nucleotide ribosomal RNA is filed under the name uncultured bacterium. Its description in RNAcentral is "partial 16S ribosomal RNA". It matches the Rfam family "Bacterial small subunit ribosomal RNA", at positions 28 to 507 of the family's 1533-position model. The record is from RNAcentral.
GAUGAACGCUGGCGGCGUGCCUAAUACAUGCAAGUCGAGCGAACAGACGAGGAGCUUGCUCCUCUGACGUUAGCGGCGGACGGGUGAGUAACACGUGGAUAACCUACCUAUAAGACUGGGAUAACUUCGGGAAACCGGAGCUAAUACCGGAUAAUAUAUUGAACCGCAUGGUUCAAUAGUGAAAGACGGUUUUGCUGUCUCUUAUAGAUGGAUCCGCGCCGCAUUAGCUAGUUGGUAAGGUAACGGCUUACCAAGGCAACGAUGCGUAGCCGACCUGAGAGGGUGAUCGGCCACACUGGAACUGAGACACGGUCCAGACUCCUACGGGAGGCAGCAGUAGGGAAUCUUCCGCAAUGGGCGAAAGCCUGACGGAGCAACACCGCGUGAGUGAUGAAGGUCUUCGGAUCGUAAAACUCUGUUAUUAGGGAAGAACAAAUGUGUAAGUAACUAUGCACGUCUUGACGGUACCUAAUCAGAAAGCCACGGCUAACUACGUG